Molecule: long non-coding RNA, 1383 nt
Organism: Lycium ferocissimum
Lineage: Eukaryota; Viridiplantae; Streptophyta; Magnoliopsida; Solanales; Solanaceae
Exons: 2
Source: RefSeq, a predicted model, not a curated record
UUCUCUUAUUUCUUUUUUGAUUUUGUUCUUUCAUUUGCCAUGAAUGAACUCACUUACCCAAGUUGCUUACUCUGUUAUAUCGCUCUGCUUCUAUUGUUUUUUCUGCAUUUAUCCCAUUUGUUCUGAUUAUACUUUAUAUUGUUGCUUUUAAUGUUCUGCUCAUUUUGGUGAGUUCUCUUUGAAUAUUUCCCCUCUUUCUUGGUUUUGUUAAAACAAUUACACCCAUAUGCAUCUAUAACGACCUUUGACUUUGAGUUCUGAAUUUGCUCUGCUGUGAGCUUUAUUCUGCUCAACUAUGGUUUAUAUUUCUUUUACUGCACCUGAUUAGUCACUGAUGCACUUAGGGUGUUUGAUAAUAGGACCAAAUCCUUAAAACUCAAAAAGUUACUUACUAGUGUAUUUCAUGUUCUUCUACUUUUGAGAAAUUAAAAUUCCUUCUACUACGAAUGAUGAUUGAUGAAGUCUCUACAUAACAGAUAUUCUCUGGUUUUUUAUUGUUAUAACAUUUUCAGUUUUGAUAAUUUCACAAGCAAAUUGCUAGAGGUACCGACAAAGAUGGAUCACCUCUGAUUCUGUAAAUGCAUUUGGACUGUGUAUUUAAUGAGACAUUUUCCUGAGUCAUUUUCAUUAUAGUAUUUGAUUUGAGUAAUGUGAGCACAAUAUUCAAGAAGACGAUGUUCAGAUGGUUAACAACUAAGGUUGACUUAAUUUGCUUCAGGUUCUCGGUCAGGAGUUUGUUUUGUGACUGAUGCAAGGAAAUUGUAUUAAUGUUGAAUGUGUCUUUGUACUUCUAGGAACCUGAAGAAGAAGCACAUGGACCCCCGGAUUUAUCAAUAUUUCCAAUUUUACAAGACAAGUACAACAUUUAUCAAUCAUGCAAAGGUCUUAGCUUCAGUGAAAUAGGAAGGACAAUUGCACAAUUGUAUGCUCAGCGGAAGGAAAGUCAUCGCAAGUUGAUUUCACCAACGUGAAGCCGCAGGCUCUAGCCUCCAGUUAGCUAGAGCUAUAGAUUAUUUGUUUAGCUGGUUUUUCAUUUUGGACUUAAUUCAAGAACUAGCUCAGUAAAUUGAAAGUGUAUAUUUUCUUUCUGCCACUACUAGAGUAGUCUUUACAAUUCUUUUAAGUGAACACUUCAUUUGGUUAAUUGCAAGGAAAGACAAAUGAAUAGAACCUUGUAUUCUCUAUGACUUCUGUACUUACCAAAAUCCUUUACAUUUUGUAGUUUGAGUUUGCUGGUUAUUUUGUAAUUAAAAUUGACAUAGUUAAGUUUUAGUUAAUUUUUUAUUUGUUCUUUCUUAUGUAAAUUGAAAAUUACCUGAUGUUGAGCUAUAAUGUAAUAUUGCUCAAAAUCAAUAUUUGUUGUAAACACAUAAGUUUAAAGUU